RNAcentral lists this long non-coding RNA (237 nucleotides) under Gossypium barbadense (sea-island cotton). RNAcentral describes it as "long non-coding RNA (GBAR_LNC001311)". Lineage: Eukaryota; Viridiplantae; Streptophyta; Magnoliopsida; Malvales; Malvaceae. The record is from RNAcentral.
AAAGCAAAUGCACGUCCCAAUGGCCAGCAGCGUACUGGGCAACCUAGAGAGCCCAGGUUCGAGCAACGUUACGCGCAAGAGGGUGCUUCUCUUUGCUGUACGAGCGUGGGGAGGACCAUACAGGAUUGAAACUCUACCAGCAAUAGGAGUCGGCUGAGCGGUGGACUGUUGCUAAGUUUGAAUUAAAUCCAAACUUUGAAUUUGGCCAGGAGAUAAGGAAGGAAUUAAAAUUGGAAA